This 253-nucleotide ribosomal RNA is filed under the name uncultured bacterium. RNAcentral's name for it is "partial 16S ribosomal RNA". It matches the Rfam family "Bacterial small subunit ribosomal RNA", at positions 524 to 776 of the family's 1533-position model. The record is from RNAcentral.
UACGUAGGUGGCAAGCGUUAUCCGGAUUUAUUGGGCGUAAAGGGAACGCAGGCGGUCUUUUAAGUCUGAUGUGAAAGCCUUCGGCUUAACCGGAGUAGUGCAUUGGAAACUGGGAGACUUGAGUGCAGAAGAGGAGAGUGGAACUCCAUGUGUAGCGGUGAAAUGCGUAGAUAUAUGGAAGAACACCAGUGGCGAAGGCGGCCUGCUGGACGACAACUGACGGUGAGGCGCGAAAGCGUGGGGAGCAAACAGG